UGGUGAUUUGUUCUAUUCCGUGUAUAUAUUGGAUAAUCUUAAUGUUUUUCAUCAACUCACAGUCAGAGGAAACGUGAAGGUCGUGCACCCUAACGUCAACAAUUUUGUUCAAAUUCAUUGUAUUUUACCGAAUGUGUCAUCGAAAUGAUACAGAUUCUAUGCUAGAUAACUGACUCCAGAAUGGAUCAAUCUCUCAUUCCAUCUUCUAGAGAAUCUCGGAUAACUGAUAGGUGGUUUCAUGUGUUUCUAAAUUUGGCGUGACAGACUUUUGAGAAGUUAUGUCCUUUCAAGAAAAAGGACUUACAGUCGACAAGAUUCCUUGUUUGCUAACCCAUUGGCUGCUACCCUUGAAUCUCCCUAUUUGUCAAAAACAAAAAAAGAGGCUAAAUAUUAUGUUGCCUAUAAGAUCAAAUGUGGGGCAUCUGGUUAUCCCUCCAAAAUAAGGCAAUGACCACACGUUCAACGCGGAUCAUUCAUUUUGUCAUCGAACUUGACUCAUUCCAUCUUCUGAAUUGCUUAGGAAAGCUGAUUGGUGUUACCUGUUCAUUUAGGUAAUGACCGAGAAGAUGCGGCCUACAUGAAAAUCAUUUAGGCGGCCAGCAUCAUUCGACUACCCAACCGGCUUCUACUACCUACCUAACCCUGCUCUCAACACAGCACGGAGUUUUACCCUAUAGAUUUUUGGCUGUUCGCGAUGUGUCAUGAUUCAAUUACCGGUUCUAACCUUCAGGUUCCUAAAUUUGCAUGACAAACUUUAUGAAAAGUAAUGUUCUUUCAAGAAAGUCAACAAGGUCCCUUGUUUGCUAACCCAAUGGCUGCUACCCUUGAAUCUCCCUAUUUAGUUCCUUACACAGGCCCUCUUGAUUGGAGGGUAAUCCUUCGCUACUGAUCAUGGACUCCAUUGGUGAAACUGAAAAC
RNAcentral lists this long non-coding RNA (918 nucleotides) under Daphnia pulex (common water flea). RNAcentral describes it as "uncharacterized LOC124203787, transcript variant X1". Lineage: Eukaryota; Metazoa; Arthropoda; Branchiopoda; Diplostraca; Daphniidae. The record is from RNAcentral.